GGCUGCGCAUGCGCAGCUCUUCUUCACUGCCUUGGCUGUGUACCCGAUAAGGUUUGGAGGUGGUCGCAGUGUCAAUCGUAGGCUUCUGGCGGGCCUGCCGUUUACUGACGCUGUGAUUGGAUACAGCUCGGUUUGCGUCUGUGGGACUCGGUGUCCUCGUCCGUGGAAUGGGUCAACCACACUGGAUUUCCUGUGCUUCUUGCAUGAAUAGCUGUGCUAAGGCAACGUGAAGGCUGCUGAUGGAAAACAUGAAGCCAGUGCCUGUCAGGAUACCUGCUGCACACCAAACGGUCCAGAUUUACGAGUGGGCUGGUUCUCCUGGCAGUGCGUGAGCCACUGCGAACCUGUGACCCAGCCUUGAGAACUUAGGCAGAACCUGCCCGCAUUCCCAGCAUCAGUUUCCUGUUACAGUGGUUUUGAGGUGAUGACGUCCAGGCCUGAGGCCAGGCUGGGGAGAAGGAGAAAGGUUGUAUUUUCAAAAGGACAUGGUGGAGCACUCUUUCACAUGAGCACAGCUGGUCUUCGUGGGUGUCCCCCCCAUCAAGAAAGAAAAAAUCAUCUCUAAGGCCAAAGAUGUCUUGAUCCUCUUUAAAGGUCCUUGUUCAGCUCACAAAAACCCUGGGAUUUUUCAGUCUAAGCCGGUGAGCUCCAGGGUCAGGGUCAGGCCCCAGGGCAUCCCCAUUCAUCCUCUGCUGCCUCCAGCUCUCACCACCCUCUACUUACCCCCUACCUCCAAGUGUCUCCUUGAGAAACAGUAUGGCUUGGAAAACGGACUCCCACUCCUUCCUACUCCACCAUCUUUGUCAAAACAAUAAACUUUUAUUGAGUAUUACUUUUUACUUUUAUAGCAUAAUUCUUAGUGGUCAGAAUAAACGGUCAUUGUAAUGAGUCAAACAACGUACAUGUUUAAGGAAAAAGUUGAUUAACAGUUUCAUGUUUAUCCUUUUUUCCUUUCUCU
Long non-coding RNA from Hippopotamus amphibius kiboko, 958 nucleotides. RefSeq lists it as uncharacterized. The transcript is spliced from 3 exons. The record is from RefSeq and is a predicted model, not a curated record. Lineage: Eukaryota; Metazoa; Chordata; Mammalia; Artiodactyla; Hippopotamidae.